This is a non-coding RNA of Nicotiana tabacum (common tobacco), 945 nucleotides long. The record is from RefSeq and is a predicted model, not a curated record. NCBI's taxonomy places the organism in Eukaryota, Viridiplantae, Streptophyta, Magnoliopsida, Solanales, Solanaceae.
CCUAUAUCUACACAUUCAUUACACAAUUAGAGGAGAAAAAAAAACAGGGGAUAGAAGAUAGGGACGGAAAACAGAAAAACGAAAGGCAGAGAACACAUUUUUUUUGAAGCUAAUUCCUCGAACCCCCAUUCUUGCAAUAAAAAGCUUCAGCCGCAGACCAAAAGAAAAAGGCUCUGGAUCUCUCUGUUCUCUUAGACACACAACAUACAGAAAAAGGGGAGGGCACGAUUUGCUGGGUGGAACCUUUCCUCUUUUCUUUGUGUCCCCAUAGUCAGACAGAAAACUUAGGCACAUAGCAGGGGAGGAACGAAACAGUCAAAAAACAGAGAGAAAAAGGAUGUCACCUGAAACCUCCCCAUAAUAGUCCCAAAUCAGUUGCAAACUCCAGCCCAAGAGAGUAGCAAAUAAGCUGUGAAUCUGCUAAAAAUUAGUCCAAAACCUCACAUCAAAACAGUCCCAAACCCAGCCAUUAGAGCCACCCAAAACUAGCUGUGUUGCAACAUGAAACCAACUACUAAACCCUCUUUCUUCAACCUUAAAAAUGCCGUAGCUACACCUCCAUUCAUUGCCGUUGUUCUCUUAAGAUGAGGAAGUCCAGCGAGGUCAAUGUCGAGGUCGUCGUCUUGGGUCGAGAUACAGGAGCCUCGAGUACUGCUAGCGAGCGCUGAUUGCUUCCAGUGGGCUAUUCGGAGUUCACUAGGUAGCUGCUCAGCAUUCGCAACCCAGUGUUUCUCCCUCUUAUCUUUAUUUUCCCUUGUACUGAAUUCUGUAAUAGACUGUGUAGCCCAUUUUCCAUACUCUUAGACUUAUGUUAGAUUCUCACGACUGGUGACAUCCCGAUGUCGGGCUGUGUUUAUUUUCCGCAAAUGUUCUAUCUCACUUUUAUUUUGGGAUUUAUAGUAUGUUAAUGACUUAAAUUGUAUUACUAUAACUGUUAAAAAUGAA